Molecule: ribosomal RNA, 484 nt
Filed under: uncultured bacterium
Lineage: Bacteria
Description: partial 16S ribosomal RNA
Rfam family: Bacterial small subunit ribosomal RNA
Source: RNAcentral
AUUGAACGCUGGCGGCAUGCUUUACACAUGCAAGUCGAACGGCAGCGCGGGCUUCGUCCUGGCGGCGCGUGGCGCACGGGUGAGUAAUGCAUCUGAACGUGCCCAGUAGUUGGGGAUAGCCCGUCUAAAGCCGGAUUAAUACCGCAUACGACCUGAGGGUGAAAGCGGGGGACCGAAAGGCCUCGCGCUAUUUGAGCGUCCGAUGUCGGAUUAGCUAGUUGGUGGGGUAAAGGCUUACCAAGGCGACGAUCCGUAGCUGGUCUGAGAGGACGACCAGCCACACUGGGACUGAGACACGGCCCAGACGCCGACGGGAGGCAGCAGUGGGGAAUUUUGGAAAAUGGGGGAAACACUGAACCAGCAAGGCCGCGUGCGGGAAGAAGGCCUUCGGGUUGUAAAGCGCUUUUGUUAGGGAAGAAAUCCUCUGGGCUAAUACCCCGGGGGGAUGACGGUACAGGAAGAAUAAGCACCGGAUAACUACGUG